GAAUUGUUUGCAUUUUUCUAUUUUUCCUAAUUCUGGAGGCCAUCGAAAUAUAUAGAUUCCAGAAUGAAACAUGUAACUAGGCAUCUUUCUAACCUAGAUAAGUCUUAAAUAUUGUUUCUAGAGUAAGAUGACGAUAUUAAGGCAAACUAGAACAAUAACAUUAAUAUAUUUUCCUCUAUUCUUACAGACAGUGAUCUGACACAAACACAGCUGAAGCAAACAGAGGUCCUAGUGACAGCUGAAAAAUUGUCUUCAAAUUUACAGCACCAUUUCAGUUUGUCAUCUGUUUAUUCACAUUACUUUCCUGACACUGGAAUUCCAGAAGUGACCACCUGUCAUUCCCGAAGUGCCAUAACUGUGGAUU
RNAcentral lists this long non-coding RNA (364 nucleotides) under Homo sapiens (human). RNAcentral's name for it is "non-protein coding lnc-SPATA45-3:1". Lineage: Eukaryota; Metazoa; Chordata; Mammalia; Primates; Hominidae. The record is from RNAcentral.